CCUACGGGGGGCAGCAGUGGGGAAUAUUGGACAAUGGGGGCAACCCUGAUCCAGCCAUGCCGCGUGUGUGAAGAAGGCCCUCGGGUUGUAAAGCACUUUCAGUGAGGAAGAACGCCUGGUGGUUUAUACCCAUCAGGAAAGACAUCACUCACAGAAGAAGCACCGGCUAACUCCGUGCCAGCAGCCGCGGUAAUACGGAGGGUGCGAGCGUUAAUCGGAAUUACUGGGCGUAAAGCGCGCGUAGGUGGCUUGAUAAGCCGGUUGUGAAAGCCCCGGGCUCAACCUGGGAACGGCAUCCGGAACUGUCAAGCUAGAGUGCAGGAGAGGAAGGUAGAAUUCCCGGUGUAGCGGUGAAAUGCGUAGAGAUCGGGAGGAAUACCAGUGGCGAAGGCGGCCUUCUGGACUGACACUGACACUGAGGUGCGAAAGCGUGGGUAGCAAACAGGAUUAGAUACCCUUGUAGUC
RNAcentral lists this ribosomal RNA (465 nucleotides) under Vreelandella stevensii. RNAcentral describes it as "partial 16S ribosomal RNA". It matches the Rfam family "Bacterial small subunit ribosomal RNA", at positions 338 to 795 of the family's 1533-position model. Lineage: Bacteria; Pseudomonadati; Pseudomonadota; Gammaproteobacteria; Oceanospirillales; Halomonadaceae. The record is from RNAcentral.